RNAcentral lists this transfer RNA (71 nucleotides) under Marmota monax (woodchuck). RNAcentral describes it as "tRNA.Ala". It matches the Rfam family "tRNA". Rfam says of the family: Transfer RNA (tRNA) molecules are approximately 80 nucleotides in length. Their secondary structure includes four short double-helical elements and three loops (D, anti-codon, and T loops). Further hydrogen bonds mediate the characteristic L-shaped molecular structure. tRNAs have two regions of fundamental functional importance: the anti-codon, which is responsible for specific mRNA codon recognition, and the 3' end, to which the tRNAs corresponding amino acid is attached (by aminoacyl-tRNA synthetases). tRNAs cope with the degeneracy of the genetic code in two manners: having more than one tRNA (with a specific anti-codon) for a particular amino acid; and 'wobble' base-pairing, i.e. permitting non-standard base-pairing at the 3rd anti-codon position. Lineage: Eukaryota; Metazoa; Chordata; Mammalia; Rodentia; Sciuridae. The record is from RNAcentral.
GGGGUUGUAGCUCAGUGGUAGAGUGCUUGCCUAGCAUGCUUGAGAUACUGAGUUCAAUCCUCAGCACCACA